Non-coding RNA from Oryctolagus cuniculus (rabbit), 46 nucleotides. Lineage: Eukaryota; Metazoa; Chordata; Mammalia; Lagomorpha; Leporidae. The record is from Rfam.
UCUCCGGAUUUAUUAAAAUCCAAUUAAAAUAUUAUAAAAAAUAUAA